This 491-nucleotide ribosomal RNA is filed under the name uncultured bacterium. RNAcentral describes it as "partial 16S ribosomal RNA". It matches the Rfam family "Bacterial small subunit ribosomal RNA", at positions 29 to 507 of the family's 1533-position model. The record is from RNAcentral.
AGUGAACGCUGGCGGUAGGCCUAACACAUGCAAGUCGAACGGCAGCACAGUAAGAGCUUGCUCUUACGGGUGGCGAGUGGCGGACGGGUGAGGAAUACAUCGGAAUCUACUUUUUCGUGGGGGAGAACGUAGGGAAACUUACGCUAUACCGCAUACGACCUACGGGUGAAAGCAGGGGAUCUUCGGACCUUGCGCGAUUGAAUGAGCCGAUGUCGGAUUAGCUAGUUGGCGGGGUAAAGGCCCACCAAGGCGACGAUCCGUAGCUGGUCUGAGAGGAUGAUCAGCCACACUGGAACUGAGACACGCUCCAGCCUCCUACGGGAGGCAGCAGUGGGGAAUAUUGGACAAUAGGCGCAAGCCUGAUCCAGCCAUACCGCGUGGGUGAAGAAGGCCUUCGGGUUGUAAAGCCCUUUUAUUGGGAAAGAAAAUCAGCAGGUUAAUACCCCGCUGUUCUGACGGUACCCAAAGAAUAAGCACCGGCUAACUUCGUG